AGUGAACGCUGGCGGUAGGCCUAACACAUGCAAGUCGAACGGCAGCACAGUAAGAGCUUGCUCUUACGGGUGGCGAGUGGCGGACGGGUGAGGAAUACAUCGGAAUCUACUUUUUCGUGGGGGAUAACGUAGGGAAACUUACGCUAAUACCGCAUACGACCUACGGGUGAAAGCAGGGGAUCUUCGGACCUUGCGCGAUUGAAUGAGCCGAUGUCGGAUUAGCUAGUUGGCGGGGUAAGGGCCCACCAAGGCGACGAUCCGUAGCUGGUCUGAGAGGAUGAUCAGCCACACUGGAACUGAGACACGGUCCAGACUCCUACGGGAGGCAGCAGUGGGGAAUAUUGGACAAUGGGCGCAAGCCUGAUCCAGCCAUACCGCGUGGGUGAAGAAGGCCCUCGGGUUGUAAAGCCCUUUUGUUGGGAAAGAAAAGCAGCAGGUUAAUACCCCGCUGUUCUGACGGUACCCAAAGAAUAAGCACCGGCUAACUUCGU
Molecule: ribosomal RNA, 491 nt
Filed under: uncultured bacterium
Lineage: Bacteria
Description: partial 16S ribosomal RNA
Rfam family: Bacterial small subunit ribosomal RNA
Source: RNAcentral